AUGGUAAUAGCAGCUGGUGCAGGAAAUUUGGGGCAAGUUUCGAAUGCGCUCCAUUCGGAGGCAAUGGCAAUGUUGCAUGCCAUAAACGCAGCUAUUCAGAUGGGUUGUCACUGUGUCAUAAUGGAGACUGACUCUGUGCAACUUCAGUCAGCAGUGAACAAUGAAGACUAUGAUCUCUCUACAUUAGGAGCUAUUUUCAAAGAUAUUAAAUUUAAGCUGAGAGUAAGCUUCAAUCAUGUAACUGUUGUGUCUUGUCCUAGAACUUGUAAUGUAGUGGCACACUGUUUAGCAGCGUAUGGUACUAAACUAGGAGCUGGCAUAAGUGAGAUUUGGCUUGAUGAAUGUCCAGACUUUGUAAAUGACGCUGUUGCUGGCGACUUGUCCAGCAUUGGUUCUUAA
RNAcentral lists this ribosomal RNA (399 nucleotides) under Triticum aestivum (bread wheat). RNAcentral's name for it is "partial small subunit ribosomal RNA". The record is from RNAcentral. Lineage: Eukaryota; Viridiplantae; Streptophyta; Magnoliopsida; Poales; Poaceae.